RNAcentral lists this ribosomal RNA (433 nucleotides) under uncultured bacterium. RNAcentral describes it as "partial 16S ribosomal RNA". It matches the Rfam family "Bacterial small subunit ribosomal RNA", at positions 29 to 507 of the family's 1533-position model. The record is from RNAcentral.
AACGAACGCUGGCGGCAGGCCUAACACAUGCAAGUCGAGCGAGCAUUUCGGUGCUAGCGGCGGACGGGGGAGUAACGCGUGGGAACGUGCCCUUUUCUGCGGAAUAGUCCUGGGAAACUGGGGGUAAUACCGCAUACGCCCUUUUGGGGAAAGAUUUAUCGGAGAAGGAUCGGCCCGCGUUGGAUUAGGUAGUUGGUGGGGUAAUGGCCCACCAAGCCGACGAUCCAUAGCUGGUGUGAGAGGAUGAUCAGCCACACUUGGACUGAGACACGGCCCAGACUCCUACGGGAGGCAGCAGUGGGGUAUCUUAGACAAUGGGGGCAACCCUGAUCUAGCCAUGCCGCGUGAGUGAUGAAGGCCUUAGGGUUGUAAAGCUCUUUCAGCUGGGAAGAUAAUGACGGUACCAGCAGAAGAAGCCCCGGCUAACUCCGUG